Molecule: ribosomal RNA, 253 nt
Filed under: uncultured bacterium
Lineage: Bacteria
Description: partial 16S ribosomal RNA
Rfam family: Bacterial small subunit ribosomal RNA
Source: RNAcentral
UACGUAGGGUGCGAGCGUUAAUCGGAAUUACUGGGCGUAAAGCGUGCGCAGGCGGUUUUGUAAGCCAGAUGUGAAAUCCCCGGGCUUAACCUGGGAAUGGCAUUUGGGACUGCAAGGCUGGAGUGCGGCAGAGGAGACUGGAAUUCCUGGUGUAGCAGUGAAAUGCGUAGAUAUCGGGAGGAAUACCGAUGGCGAAGGCAGGUCUCUGGGCUGACACUGACGCUCAUGCACGAAAGCGUGGGGAGCAAACAGG